AGGAGGUGGAUAUUCACAGACAACCAGGAGGUUGGCUUAGAAGCAGCCAUACCUUGAAAGAGUGCGUAAUAGCUCACUGGUCGAGAGUAUCUGCGCCGAAGAUAUAACGGGGCUAAGACAUGAACCGAAGCCGCGGAAGCGUGGUAACACGUUUGGUAGGAGAGCGUUCUGUAGGCCGUAGAAGGUGUCCUGAAAGGGAUGCUGGAGGUAUCAGAAGUGAGAAUGCAGGAAUGAGUAGCGAGAAGGAGGGCGAGAAUCCCUCCGGCCGGAAGUCCAAGGUUUCCAGGGGAAGGUUUGUCCGCCCUGGGGGAGUCGGGACCUAAGCAUAAGCAGAGCUGCGAAGGCGAAUGGAAAACAGGUUAAUAUUCCUGUACCGCUGUGUACUGACUGAGAGAUGGAGUGACGCAGGAAGGUAUGCGGGAAGGCUGACGGAAUAGCCUUUCUAAGGGUGAAGCGUGGACAUAUAGGCAAAUCCGUAUGUUUAAACGUGAGGCCUGACGGGUAAGUGCCAUAGGGCAUAAGCCGCAGAUCCUACACUGCCGGGAAAAACUUCUAUUUAGGGAAGCAGCGCCCGUACUGUAAACCGACACAGGUGGACAGAGUGAGAAACUUAAGGCCGACAGGAUAACUCUAGCUAAGGAACUCUGCAAAAUAGCCCCGUAACUUCGGGAGAAGGGGUGCCUAUAUUACUUGAGAAGAGAAACACUUCAAGGGGAAAUAGGUCGCAGUGAAGAGUCUCAAGCAACUGUUUACCAAAAACACAGGUCUAUGCUAAGCUGAAAGGCGACGUAUAUGGGCUGACACCUGCCCAGUGCCGGAAGGUUAAGAGGAGGAUUGAGAGAUCCGAAUUGAAGCCCCGGUGAACGGCGGCCGUAACUAUAACGGUCCUAAGGUAGCGAAAUUCCUUGUCGGGUAAGUUCCGACCUGCACGAAUGGUGAAAUGAUUUGGGAGCUGUCUUGGCCGGAGACCUGGUGAAGUUGUAAUGCCGGUGAAGAUACCGGUUACCUGCAGUAGGACGGAAAGACCCCGUGGAGCUUUACUGUAGCCUGGCAUUGGGUUUCGGCAAUGUGUGUAUAGGAUAGCUGGGAGGCUAAGAAGAUAUGGCGUCAGCUGUAUUGGAGCCGCUGUUGGAAUACCAGCCACGCAUUGUUGGGAUUCUAAUCUCAAGAGAUGGGAGACAGUGCUAGGUGGGCAGUUUGACUGGGGCGGUCGCCUCCAAAAGAGUAACGGAGGCGUUCAAAGGUUCCCUCAGGCUGGAUGGAAAUCAGCCGGAGAGUGCAAACGCAUAAGGGAGCUUGACUGCGAGACUGACGGGUCGAGCAGGCACGAAAGUGGGAGUUAGUGAUCCGGCGGUUCUGAAUGGAAAGGCCGUCGCUCAACGGAUAAAAGCUACCCCGGGGAUAACAGGCUGAUACUUCCCAAGAGUCCAUAUCGACGGAAGUGUUUGGCACCUCGAUGUCGGCUCGUCUCAUCCUGGGGCUGGAGAAGGUCCCAAGGGUUGGGCUGUUCGCCCAUUAAAGAGGCACGCGAGCUGGGUUCAGAACGUCGUGAGACAGUUCGGUCCCUAUCCACUGCAGGCGUCAGAAUAUUGAAGGGAUCUGUCCUUAGUACGAGAGGACCGGGAUGGACGGACCAAUGAUGUACCGGUUGUCACGCCAGUGGCACGGCCGGGUAGUCACGUCCGGAAGGGAUAACCGCUGAAAGCAUCUAAGCGGGAAGCCCACCCUGAGAUGAAUGUUCUUUCAAGCAUCCGCCGAGAACAGGCGGUGAUAGGCCGGGGGUGCAAGCAUGGUGACAUGUUCAGCUGACCGGUACUAAUAAUGCGUAGGCUUACUUCAA
Molecule: ribosomal RNA, 1840 nt
Filed under: human metagenome
Description: bacterial LSU rRNA
Rfam family: Bacterial large subunit ribosomal RNA
Source: RNAcentral